ACGUAGGGUGCGAGCGUUAAUCGGAAUUACUGGGCGUAAAGCGUGCGCAGGCGGCUCUUUAAGUCAGAUGUGAAAGCCCCGGGCUUAACCUGGGAACUGCGUUUGAAACUGGAGAGCUGGAGUGUGGCAGAGGAAGGUGGAAUUCCUGGUGUAGCAGUGAAAUGCGUAGAGAUCAGGAGGAACACCGAUGGCGAAGGCAGCCUUCUGGGCCAACACUGACGCUCAUGCACGAAAGCGUGGGGAGCAAACAGGAUUAGAUACCCUGGUAGUCCACGCCCUAAACGAUGUCGACUGGUUGUUGGGGGAGUUAAAUCCCUUAGUAACGAAGCUAACGCGUGAAGUCGACCGCCUGGGGAGUACGGCCGCAAGGUUG
This 373-nucleotide ribosomal RNA is filed under the name uncultured bacterium. Its description in RNAcentral is "bacterial SSU rRNA". It matches the Rfam family "Bacterial small subunit ribosomal RNA", at positions 525 to 896 of the family's 1533-position model. The record is from RNAcentral.